This 1017-nucleotide ribosomal RNA is filed under the name uncultured bacterium. RNAcentral describes it as "bacterial SSU rRNA". It matches the Rfam family "Bacterial small subunit ribosomal RNA", at positions 64 to 1076 of the family's 1533-position model. The record is from RNAcentral.
GAGCGGAUGAGAAGAGCUUGCUCUUCGAUUCAGCGGCGGACGGGUGAGUAAUGCCUAGGAAUCUGCCUGGUAGUGGGGGACAACGUUUCGAAAGGAACGCUAAUACCGCAUACGUCCUACGGGAGAAAGCAGGGGACCUUCGGGCCUUGCGCUAUCAGAUGAGCCUAGGUCGGAUUAGCUAGUUGGUGGGGUAAUGGCUCACCAAGGCGACGAUCCGUAACUGGUCUGAGAGGAUGAUCAGUCACACUGGAACUGAGACACGGCCCAGACUCCUACGGGAGGCAGCAGUGGGGAAUAUUGGACAAUGGGCGAAAGCCUGAUCCAGCCAUGCCGCGUGUGUGAAGAAGGUCUUCGGAUUGUAAAGCACUUUAAGUUGGGAGGAAGGGUUGUAGAUUAAUACUCUGCAAUUUUGACGUUACCGACAGAAUAAGCACCGGCUAACUCUGUGCCAGCAGCCGCGGUAAUACAGAGGGUGCAAGCGUUAAUCGGAAUUACUGGGCGUAAAGCGCGCGUAGGUGGUUCGUUAAGUUGGAUGUGAAAUCCCCGGGCUCAACCUGGGAACUGCAUUCAAAACUGUCGAGCUAGAGUAUGGUAGAGGGUGGUGGAAUUUCCUGUGUAGCGGUGAAAUGCGUAGAUAUAGGAAGGAACACCAGUGGCGAAGGCGACCACCUGGACUGAUACUGACACUGAGGUGCGAAAGCGUGGGGAGCGAACAGGAUUAGAUACCCUGGUAGUCCACGCCGUAAACGAUGUCAACUAGCCGUUGGGAGCCUUGAGCUCUUAGUGGCGCAGCUAACGCAUUAAGUUGACCGCCUGGGGAGUACGGCCGCAAGGUUAAAACUCAAAUGAAUUGACGGGGGCCCGCACAAGCGGUGGAGCAUGUGGUUUAAUUCGAAGCAACGCGAAGAACCUUACCAGGCCUUGACAUCCAAUGAACUUUCCAGAGAUGGAUUGGUGCCUUCGGGAGCAUUGAGACAGGUGCUGCAUGGCUGUCGUCAGCUCGUGUCGUGAGAUGUU